AUUGAACGCUGGCGGCAGGCCUAACACAUGCAAGUCGAGCGGUAGAGCGAAGCUUGCUUCUCUUGAGAGCGGCGGACGGGUGAGUAAUGCCUAGGAAUCUGCCUGGUAGUGGGGGAUAACGUUCGGAAACGGACGCUAAUACCGCAUACGUCCUACGGGAGAAAGCAGGGGACCUUCGGGCCUUGCGCUAUCGGAUGAGCCUAGGUCGGAUUAGCUAGUUGGUGGGGUAAUGGCUCACCAAGGCGACGAUCCGUAACUGGUCUGAGAGGAUGAUCAGUCACACUGGAACUGAGACACGGUCCAGACUCCUACGGGAGGCAGCAGUGGGGAAUAUUGGACAAUGGGCGAAAGCCUGAUCCAGCCAUGCCGCGUGUGUGAAGAAGGUCUUCGGAUUGUAAAGCACUUUAAGUUGGGAGGAAGGGCAGUAAAUUAAUACUUUGCUGUUUUGACGUUACCGACAGAAUAAGCACCGGCUAACUCGGUG
This 484-nucleotide ribosomal RNA is filed under the name uncultured bacterium. RNAcentral's name for it is "partial 16S ribosomal RNA". It matches the Rfam family "Bacterial small subunit ribosomal RNA", at positions 30 to 507 of the family's 1533-position model. The record is from RNAcentral.